AGUGCGGAUAUGAUUUAACGAAUACCUAUACAGUAUAAUUUAUGGUCACCUUUAAUUUCGUUUGACGAAAGGAAGCAGAAAAUAAUUUCCUUUUCCUCCAAUACAAGUUGUUCGGUUAAGCCUAUUGCUGUUAAGUUCACUUUAUCAAAUAGACACUGAGUGAAUUGGGUUUUGAUGUCAACUUGACACUGAGUGAAAGUUGAACCAAAUUUUCAGUUUAUCAAUGCCGUACCCGUGCUUUUUUUGCACAUACUAUAUUAUAUACAGCACGUAAAGCGUAUAAAAAAGGCGAACGUUAUAAAUUUGAUUUCAGUAAAAGAAAGAAACGUUGUUUGGGCAUAUUGUUGUACGAGAUAUAUAGGCUACAGAUUGGUUGUUUGCUGCCAAAUACAUAUAGUAUGCGAAUAGUUAUUUUACUUCUCUUCAUCUGCGUUCUUUUUGAAGACGGUGCGCUUGUCCAGUCAAGAACACGUCGUAGCAAAAAGAGAAAUAUCCCAUUUAUUAACUUUUGCACGAGGCAGAGAUCCAAUGGCUGUGGAACGAGACGGUGGUGGUUCAUGAAACAAAGCUUGAAACUAAAUAAAGAUCCGGAAGAUGCAAAACACUUGGAAGAGCUGCUGGAUUUUGAAAAUUCAUAAACCGGAGACCAUGUUUAAACCGAAAUCUUUUUCCUCAACCACUUUUCUUUCGUCAUGGUCAUUUUAGCGCAUUUCAAUUUCUUACAUCUAUCGACGAGUUAUAAUACACAUUUAUUGCUUUAAAAUUAAUGUUCAGAUUUAAAACGACAAAAGUGAAGAUACAUUUAAAGUUCCUUAACCUUUAAAUAAAUAAAGCGC
This is a non-coding RNA of Ciona intestinalis (vase tunicate), 836 nucleotides long. NCBI's taxonomy places the organism in Eukaryota, Metazoa, Chordata, Ascidiacea, Phlebobranchia, Cionidae. The record is from RefSeq and is a predicted model, not a curated record.